ACUACGGGAGUCAGCAGUGAGGAAUAUUGGUCAAUGGGCGCUAGCCUGAACCAGCCAAGUAGCGUGAAGGAUGACUGCCCUAUGGGUUGUAAACUUCUUUUAUAUGGGAAUAAAGUGCAGUAUGUAUACUUCUUUGCAUGUACCUUAUGAAUAAGGAUCGGCUAACUCCGUGCCAGCAGCCGCGUUAAUACGGAGGAUCCGAGCGUUAUCCGGAUUUAUUGGGUUUAAAGGGAGCGUAGGAGGGUUGUUAAUUCAGUUGUGAAAGUUUGCGGCUCAACCGUAAAAUUGCAGCUGAUACUGGCAUCCUUGAGUACAGUAGAGGUAGGCGGAAUUCGUGGUGUAGCGGUGAAAUGCUUAGAUAUCACGAAGAACUCCGAUUGAGAAGGCAGCCUGCUGGACUGUAACUGACGCUGAUGCUCGAAAGUGUGGGUAUCAAACAGGAUUAGAUACCCUGGUAGUC
This 460-nucleotide ribosomal RNA is filed under the name uncultured bacterium. Its description in RNAcentral is "partial 16S ribosomal RNA". It matches the Rfam family "Bacterial small subunit ribosomal RNA", at positions 338 to 795 of the family's 1533-position model. The record is from RNAcentral.